CACACGCAUGACACACUGCAUAUCAAUAAGCGGAGGAAAAGAAACUAACUAGGAUUCCCUUAGUAACGGCGAGUGAAGCGGGAAGAGCUCAAAUUUGAAAUCUUCAAGGUUCUACCUUGACGAAUUGUAGUUUAAAGAAGUGUUUUCUGUUGGAGUUUUGGUAAAAGUUCUUUGGAAUAGGACAUCAUAGAGGGUGAGAAUCCCGUAUUUGACCAUUUCUUCCAGCUGUGUGAUACACUUUCAAAGAGUCGGAUUGUUUGGGAAUGCAGUCCAAAAUGGGUGGUAAAUUUCAUCUAAAGCUAAAUAUUGGCGAGAGACCGAUAGCGAACAAGUACCGUGAGGGAAAGAUGAAAAGAACUUUGAAAAGAGAGUUAAACAGUACGUGAAAUUGUCAAAAGGGAAGCGUUUGACACCAGUGUUGUUUUCUCGAAAAUCAAUUAAAAAGAGCCGGAUUUUGUGUUGUUAAGACUUUAUCAGCUUACUGCACUUUUUUCUUGUUCUUUUUAAUGCACUUUUCGUUUAACAAGUCAACAUCAAUUUCUUUUGUUGUAAAAGGGUCAUUGAGGAAGGUGGCUUUCAUUUCGGUAGAAAGUGUUUAUAGCCUUUGUACCUCUGCAAUCGGAGAGAUUGAGGUCUGCAGCGUAGAUCCUUCAGGGUUAGAUACAUUUGUGCUAAGUUAUAGCUUUUCAUAGACAACUUGUUGACUAUGUUUAGUCUUGUAGCUUACUCGCUUAUGCUAUUUUACCUACGCUUAGGAUGUUGAGCGCAUGUCUCUCUCU
This 779-nucleotide ribosomal RNA is filed under the name uncultured Neocallimastigales. RNAcentral describes it as "partial large subunit ribosomal RNA". It matches the Rfam family "Eukaryotic large subunit ribosomal RNA", at positions 22 to 616 of the family's 3401-position model. The record is from RNAcentral. Lineage: Eukaryota; Fungi; Neocallimastigomycota; Neocallimastigomycetes; Neocallimastigales.